Apus apus (common swift) is the source of this 335-nucleotide long non-coding RNA. RefSeq lists it as uncharacterized. The transcript is spliced from 3 exons. Lineage: Eukaryota; Metazoa; Chordata; Aves; Apodiformes; Apodidae. The record is from RefSeq and is a predicted model, not a curated record.
UGAAGACUCCAGGCAGUGCCAAAGGACAAACUCCUCAUGCACACAAGCAGGAAAGAGAGAUGCUCCCAAUAUGCAUCUACUCAUGGAUAUUUUAAUAACCCACUUCUGAUGGCUGCUGCACUGAUGACCAAUCACACUGAAAUAUGAGGCCCGACAGCCAGAUUGGUUGGUGUGCUGCAAGGAUAUUUGGGAGAGCUGUUUUGCCAUGUCAACUCAGCAGGUCAAAGCUGUUCCAUACAAUUGCAAAGCAGUGUAAGAGAAAUACACUUAUUCUUCUGUCACUGCUGUCAAAAAUGGAGGAGAGGAGGAAGUCCCAAACACUGCAUUUCAUCAGA